UGGGGAAUAUUGGACAAUGGGCGAAAGCCUGAUCCAGCCAUGCCGCGUGUGUGAAGAAGGUCUUCGGAUUGUAAAGCACUUUAAGUUGGGAGGAAGGGCAGUAAAUUAAUACUUUGCUGUUUUGACGUUACCGACAGAAUAAGCACCGGCUAACUCUGUGCCAGCAGCCGCGGUAAUACAGAGGGUGCAAGCGUUAAUCGGAAUUACUGGGCGUAAAGCGCGCGUAGGUGGUUCGUUAAGUUGGAUGUGAAAUCCCCGGGCUCAACCUGGGAACUGCAUUCAAAACUGACGAGCUAGAGUAUGGUAGAGGGUGGUGGAAUUUCCUGUGUAGCGGUGAAAUGCGUAGAUAUAGGAAGGAACACCAGUGGCGAAGGCGACCACCUGGACUGAUACUGACACUGAGGUGCGAAAGCGUGGGGAGCAAAACAGGAUUAGAUACCCUGGUAGUCCACGCCGUAAACGAUGUCAACUAGCCGUUGGAGCCUUGAGCUCUUAGUGGCGCAGCUAACGCAUUAAGUUGACCGCCUGGGGAGUACGGCCGCAAGGUUAAAAGC
RNAcentral lists this ribosomal RNA (554 nucleotides) under uncultured bacterium. Its description in RNAcentral is "partial 16S ribosomal RNA". It matches the Rfam family "Bacterial small subunit ribosomal RNA", at positions 355 to 901 of the family's 1533-position model. The record is from RNAcentral.